AGAUUGAACGCUGGCGGCAUGCUUUACACAUGCAAGUCGAACGGUAACAGGCCGCAAGGUGCUGACGAGUGGCGAACGGGUGAGUAAUGCAUCGGAACGUGCCCAGUCGUGGGGGAUAACGCAGCGAAAGCUGUGCUAAUACCGCAUACGAUCUAUGGAUAGAAAGCGGGGGACCGAAAGGCCUCGCGCGAUUGGAGCGGCCGAUGUCAGAUUAGCUAGGUU
RNAcentral lists this ribosomal RNA (222 nucleotides) under uncultured soil bacterium. RNAcentral's name for it is "partial 16S ribosomal RNA". It matches the Rfam family "Bacterial small subunit ribosomal RNA", at positions 26 to 251 of the family's 1533-position model. The record is from RNAcentral.